AAUAUUGCACAAUGGGCGCAAGCCUGAUGCAGCAAUGCCGCGUGCGCGACGAAGGCCUUCGGGUCGUAAAGCGCUAUUCGGGGAGAUGAGUACGGACAUUACCCCCGGAAUCAGGAUCGGCUAACUACUUGCCAGCAGUCACGGUAAAACGUAGGAUCCGAGCGUUAUCCGAAUUCACUGUGCGUAAAGAGCAUGCAGGCGGCCGCACAAGUUGGAUGUGAAAUCUCCCGGCUCAACUGGGAGGGGACGUUCAAAACUGUGCGGCUCGAGGGCGGUAGAGGAAGGUAGAAUUCCCGGUGUAGUGGUGAAAUGCGUAGAUAUCGGGAGGAAUACCCGUGGCGAAGGCGACCUUCUGGACCGUUUCUGACGCUCAGAUGCGAAAGCUAGGGGAGCGAACGGG
RNAcentral lists this ribosomal RNA (400 nucleotides) under uncultured bacterium. RNAcentral's name for it is "partial 16S ribosomal RNA". It matches the Rfam family "Bacterial small subunit ribosomal RNA", at positions 360 to 776 of the family's 1533-position model. The record is from RNAcentral.